CCUACUUUACCUUUGUGCUCCUUCUGAUUCUUUCUGCUCCUUUACCUUUGUGCUCCUUGCUGUCCCUUUGUGCUCCUUCCUGCUCCUUGCAGGCCCUUCCUGCUCAUUCUCCUACUUUAUGUUUGUGCUCCUUCUGCCCCUUCCAGCUCAUUUCUGACCCUUUCUGUUCAUUUCUAUAUAUCUAUAGGCUGCUGCCCCCCCAAAUCUAUAGGCUGCGGC
Molecule: non-coding RNA, 219 nt
Organism: Pelobates cultripes (western spadefoot toad)
Lineage: Eukaryota; Metazoa; Chordata; Amphibia; Anura; Pelobatidae
Source: the annotation of a GenBank genome assembly